AUCCGUUCUCUCCCGUGGGUUGUCGCACUUCAAAAGCCACGCUGGCUGGUGAGAAAAUCUCCUUGGGACGAAACAGCAGGAACGGGUUUAUUUUUCAUGGCGCGUGUAUACUGGGCGUGUGUGUGUGUAGUUCAUUUUCAGUUGAAGCAUCAAUCCACGAAGGGUUAGGAAAGACACGCAUCACCCCCAUACAAAUGUGCACUUGUCUGGGUUCAAGAAAAGGGCGAAUGACCUCUGUUCUCGUUUCCUUUUUCGGAUAAGCUUCGUUUUGGAUGGGUUUGGAGACACACUCCAUCUGCAGCACACGUUUCUAUCACGGCGGGACUGCUUCAAAAGAAGUGAUGUAAGGAUUGCUCCAAACCCAUCCAGUGCGAAUUUCCUUCCAAAACUAUUGCUUCUUAGAACCCAGAAUGUUCCUUUUCCGUUGCGAUCACAGCCUUGGGACGAGCGGUGGGGGCGAUGCUGAGGAGGACGCUGGUAGAAGUACCAAGAUUUCCACAUACACUUUUAAAGGAGUUUAGGGUUUUUUAAAAUCAAAGAGGCAUUCCUUAUGGUUUCCAAUCUGUGGUCAAAAUGAUGAUAACCCAGCAGAAUGAUAUAAGGAUGUUGGUGUACCAAAAACAACAACAGGCACUUAUUGUGGAACAAGAUUCCAGAGAGUCUAAUCUAGAGAAAAUUUAUGCCAGCAUGAAUGUGUGGAUCUCUAAGAAAUGUUCCAGGUUUGCAACCAUUAUAUUGUUUGAAGAGGACUUUCUAACAUGAUAUGUGUCACAUCUUCCAAGGUUAGUUUAUGAAAGUUUUUGUAUAUGUGUUAAAGUGGUAAUCUCU
RNAcentral lists this long non-coding RNA (828 nucleotides) under Salvator merianae (Argentine black and white tegu). RNAcentral describes it as "lncRNA (ENSSMRG00000007667.1)". The record is from RNAcentral. Lineage: Eukaryota; Metazoa; Chordata; Lepidosauria; Squamata; Teiidae.